RNAcentral lists this ribosomal RNA (277 nucleotides) under Coptotriche citrinipennella. RNAcentral's name for it is "partial 18S ribosomal RNA". It matches the Rfam family "Eukaryotic small subunit ribosomal RNA", at positions 834 to 1110 of the family's 1831-position model. Lineage: Eukaryota; Metazoa; Arthropoda; Insecta; Lepidoptera; Tischeriidae. The record is from RNAcentral.
UAUGAUCUCGGUUCUAUUUUGUUGGUUUUCAGAACUCCGAGGUAAUGAUUAAUAGGGAUAACUGGGGGCAUUCGUAUUGCGACGUUAGAGGUGAAAUUCUUGGAUCGUCGCAAGACGAMCAUCAGCGAAAGCAUUUGCCAAAGGUGUUUUCAUCAAUCAAGAACGAAAGUUAGAGGUUCGAAGGCGAUUAGAUACCGCCCUAGUUCUAACCGUAAAUAUGUCAUCURCGAUCCGCCGACGUUACUACAAUGGCUCGGCGGGCAGCUUCCGGGAAACC